UACAGAGUGAAUUCCAGGACAGCCAGGGCUACACAGAGUAACCCUGUCUCAAAAAUAAAAAAAGAUUCAUAAAACCCCUCCACAAGGUUAUGGUUAUAAGGAACAACUGUUGUGUGCAGAGAUUCUCUUAUGUAUGGAGCUGUUUUGUCCUGUAGUGAGCUCUGUGCUUAAGGCUCUUGUGUGUUAUCACCUAGGAAGCAUGGACCUUUUAAUGUUAUAGUUGCUUUUUAAUCACUUAUGGCCUUGCAUGUAGCCCCAAAUUCUUGUAAAUAAUCCUAAUAAACAUAUUGGUUUAUCAU
RNAcentral lists this long non-coding RNA (299 nucleotides) under Mus musculus (house mouse). RNAcentral describes it as "long non-coding RNA chr2:151332281-151332580". The record is from RNAcentral. Lineage: Eukaryota; Metazoa; Chordata; Mammalia; Rodentia; Muridae.